Molecule: ribosomal RNA, 468 nt
Filed under: uncultured bacterium
Lineage: Bacteria
Description: partial 16S ribosomal RNA
Rfam family: Bacterial small subunit ribosomal RNA
Source: RNAcentral
GACGAACGCUGGCGGCGUGCUUAACACAUGCAAGUCGAACGGAAAGGCCCUGCUUUUGUGGGGUGCUCGAUUGGCGAACGGGGGAGUAACACGUGAGUAACCUGCCCUUGACUUUGGGAUAACUUCAGGAAACUGGGGCUAAUACCGGAUAGGAUCUCCUGCUGCAUGGUGGGGGUUGGAAAGUUUCGGCGGUUGUGGAUGGACUCGCGGCUUAUCAGCUUGUUGGUGUGGUAGUGGCGUACCAAGGCUUUGACGGGUAGCCGGCCUGAGAGGGUGAACGGCCACAUUGGGACUGAGAUACGGCCCAGACUCCUACGGGAGGCAGCAGUGGGGAAUAUUGCACAAUGGGCGGAAGCCUGAUGCAGCAACGCCGCGUGCGGGAUGACGGCCUUCGGGUUGUAAACCGAUUUCGAAUGUGACGAAGCGUGAGUGACGGUAAUGGGUAAAGAAGCACCGGCUAACUACGUG